CAAUAGCGUAUAUUAAAGUUGUUGCAGUUAGAACGCUCGUAGUCGGAUUUCGGGGCGGGGCGACCGGUCUGCCGAUGGGUAUGCACUGGUCGGCGCGUCCUUCCUUCCGGAGACCGUUCCUACUCUUAACUGAGCGGGGGCGGGAGACGGAUCGUUUACUUUGAAAAAAACAGAGUGUUUCAAGCAGGCAGCUCGCUCUUGCAUGGAUUAGCAUGGGAUAAUGAAAUAGGACUUUGGUGCUAUUUUGUUGGUUUCGAACACCGAAGUAAUGAUUAAAAGGGACAGUCAGGGGCACUCGUAUUCCGCCGAGAGAGGUGAAAUUCUCAGACCAGCGGAAGACGAACCACUGCGAAAGCAUUUGCCAGGGAUGUUUUCACUGA
Molecule: ribosomal RNA, 380 nt
Filed under: uncultured eukaryote
Lineage: Eukaryota
Description: partial 18S ribosomal RNA
Rfam family: Eukaryotic small subunit ribosomal RNA
Source: RNAcentral